RNAcentral lists this ribosomal RNA (403 nucleotides) under uncultured bacterium. Its description in RNAcentral is "bacterial SSU rRNA". It matches the Rfam family "Bacterial small subunit ribosomal RNA", at positions 355 to 772 of the family's 1533-position model. The record is from RNAcentral.
UGGGGAAUCUUGGACAAUGGGGGAAACCCUGAUCGAGCGACGCCGCGUGGAGGAUGAAGGCCUUCGGGUCGUAAACUCCUGUCAUGCGGGAACAAGAAAGUGAUAGUACCGCAAGAGGAAGAGACGGCUAACUCUGUGCCAGCAGCCGCGGUAAUACAGAGGUCUCAAGCGUUGUUCGGAUUCAUUGGGCGUAAAGGGUGCGUAGGUGGCGAUGUAAGUCUGAUGUGAAAUCUCGGGGCUCAACCUCGAAAUUGCAUUGGAUACUGCGUUGCUUGAGGAUUGUAGAGGAGAGUGGAAUUCACGGUGUAGCAGUGAAAUGCGUAGAUAUCGUGAGGAAGACCAGUUGCGAAGGCGACUCUCUGGGCAAUUCCUGACACUGAGGCACGAAGGCCAGGGGAGCAAA